Molecule: ribosomal RNA, 253 nt
Filed under: uncultured bacterium
Lineage: Bacteria
Description: partial 16S ribosomal RNA
Rfam family: Bacterial small subunit ribosomal RNA
Source: RNAcentral
CACGGGGGGAGCAAGCGUUGUUCGGAAUCACUGGGCGUAAAGGGCGUGUAGGCGGUUGCGUAAGUGGAAUGUGAAAUCCCCCGGCUUACCCGGGGACCUGCAUCCCAAACUGCGCGACUUGAGUAUGGGAGAGGAUGAGGGAAUUCCUGGUGUAGCGGUGAAAUGCGUAGAUAUCUGGAGGAACACCGGUGGCGAAGGCGGCAUCCUGGACCGGCAUUGACGCUGAGGCGCGAAAGCCAGGGGAGCAAACGGG